This is a small nucleolar RNA of Dioscorea cayenensis subsp. rotundata (Guinea yam), 88 nucleotides long. RefSeq annotates it as small nucleolar RNA Z159/U59. The record is from RefSeq and is a predicted model, not a curated record. The transcript has a single exon. Lineage: Eukaryota; Viridiplantae; Streptophyta; Magnoliopsida; Dioscoreales; Dioscoreaceae.
GUCUCUGAAAAUGAUUUUUAUGGAAUCUUUCGUUCUUCCGAGUUGAUAUUCAACGAGGAAGUUUCAUGGAGACCUGGGCUGAAGAGGC